Schistosoma rodhaini is the source of this 71-nucleotide non-coding RNA. The record is from Rfam. Lineage: Eukaryota; Metazoa; Platyhelminthes; Trematoda; Strigeidida; Schistosomatidae.
CCAAUAACUCCGCCUGUAGCUCCUCUGAGGGUUGCUGCCGGUCCCAAGCCCGGGUAAAGGAGGAGGGUUGG